CGUCAUAUAGCUUAAAGCAAGCACAGGUCUCUUAAACCUUAAUAUAGUAACUAGCAAAUACUUUUGACG
Molecule: transfer RNA, 69 nt
Filed under: Phloeosinus perlatus
Lineage: Eukaryota; Metazoa; Arthropoda; Insecta; Coleoptera; Curculionidae
Description: tRNA-Lys
Source: RNAcentral